This 4827-nucleotide long non-coding RNA is filed under the name Gossypium barbadense (sea-island cotton). Its description in RNAcentral is "long non-coding RNA (GBAR_LNC009793)". Lineage: Eukaryota; Viridiplantae; Streptophyta; Magnoliopsida; Malvales; Malvaceae. The record is from RNAcentral.
CAGCAUGCAGGCCAUCAAGACCAAGUCAUGCAGGAGCUGCUGGAACGAGCUGAACUAUUCCUAUUUUGUUCAACUUGUAAUCUUAAGUUAAUGUAAUGUACUUUAGUUCAUUUAGAACUAUGUUAGGUUUAUGAUUGAUGUAUUUUGAUGACAAUUAAGCUGUUAAGUCAGCUUUGUUUAAGUGUGCAAGCUUAGUUUUUCAAGUUUCAAUGUAUUAGUUGUAGUAGGUGAUGAUUAGGUAUCAUUAUGCAGAUUUUGACAAGCAAAUUGCUUGGUUUAUGUAUUGGCAUUAUGCCAUUGUUCAACUUAUGAAUAGAAUCAGUUUUUGUUCAUCAAUUUCCUCUCCAUUUUCUUAGCUUUUUCUUUCUUUCUUUAACUCGAAAUUGUUUGUUUGCUCAGCAAGUUUUAAGGCUUGCUCGACAAGAUACUAGCUGAGUCUGCUUGAUUCUGUUCUUGCACCAACAAUUGGUAUCUAGAGCCUAUUUCUUAAGGGAUCUGUUACUCAAUUCCAUGGCUUCAUCAAGCUUUUCACCAGCUGCACCUCAAGUCUUCAAUGGAGAAGGCUAUCACAUAUGGGUGGUCAAAAUGAAGACCUACCUGCAGGCGUUCGAUCUGUGGGAGGUGGUCAACUUUGAUGUUGAACCAGAGCCACUUAGAGCUAAUCCAACAGUGGCUCAGAUCAGGCAGCAUGCUGAUGAAAGGACCAAGAGGCACAAAGCUAUGUCCUGCAUCCAAAACUCAGUGUCUGAUGUGAUUUUCACAAGGAUUAUGGCCUGUGAAUCACCAAAACAGGCCUGGGAUAAGUUGCAGGAAGAGUUUCAAGGGACAGAGAGGACAAGGCAGCAACAGUUGUUAAACUUGAGGAGAGAUUUCGAGAAUUUGAAGAUGAAGGAAGAAGAAACUGUCAAGCAAUAUUCUGACAGGAUUAUGGCUGUGGUUAACAGCAUCAGGCUCCUUGGAGAGCAGUUCAAUGAAGCUAGGAUAGUGGAGAAGGUAAUAGCAACUCUGCCUGAGAGGUAUGAGGCAAAAAUCUCAUCUCUCGAGGACUCAAGGGAUCUAUCCACCAUCUCUCUGACAGAGUUGAUCAAUGCUCUAUAUGCUCAAGAGCAGAGGAGAGCAAGCAGACUGGAGGAGCACCAAGAAGGUGCCUUUCAGGCAAGAGCAAAUACUGCCUACAAAGGCAAGAAGGCCUGGAGAGACAAGCCAAGGAAUGAUGCUGCAAGGAGAGAAGGCCAGACUUGCAAGCACUGUAGAAAGGCUGGUCAUUCAGAAGAAAAAUGCUGGUUCAAUCCAGAUGCUGUGUGUCAGCAUUGUAAGAAGAAGGGUCAUGUUGAGAGAGUCUGCAAGAGUAAGACCAAAUCGAGGCAGAAUCAGUUUCAACAGAUGAAAGCUGAGGCUCGAGUAGCUAAGGAGGACAGUGACCAAGAGGAGCAAGUCUUUGCUGUGUCAUGCUCAGCUGCUCAGGAAAGGUCCUCAUCUGGUUGGCUCCUAGACAGUGGAUGCACCAACCACAUGACACCUGAUGCUGCAAUCUUCAAGUCUUUAGACAGAAGCUGCAGAACUAAAGUCAAGAUAGGAAAUGGUCAUUUUAUCCAAGCUGAAGGCAAGGGUGAUGUGCUGAUAUGCACACUUACAGGUACCAAAGUGAUUUCAAAUGUGCUGUUGGUGCCUGAAAUUGACAGAAACCUGCUCAGCAUAGCUCAGUUGCUGGAAAAAGGUUAUUCAGUUGUGUUUAAAGACCACCAGUGCCAAAUCAGUGAUCCAAGUGGAUCCAAACUGAUGGCAGUCCCUAUGGCUGAUAAGAGCUUUGUGGUUGACUGGACAAAAAGGUCAGACAUUGCCUACACAGCCACUUCAGAUGAAUCCAAGUUGUGGCAUCAAAGAUUGGGACAUGCCAACUUCAGAUCGAUGGCUCGAAUGGUCAGAGAGGACCUGGCUGAAAAUUUCAUCAACUCAGUUGACCAUGAUGAUGUAUGUGAUGUAUGUCAGCUAGGAAAGCAGGCCAGACUCCCAUUUCCCUCGAAUCAAGCCUGGAGAGCCUCUGAAAAACUCCAACUGGUGCAUACUGAUGUGUGUGGCCCUAUGAAGACUGAGUCAUUAAGUGGAAACAGGUAUUUCAUACUGUUUAUUGAUGAUUUCUCGAGAUAUUGCUGGAUUUACUUUUUAAAACAGAAAUCUGAAGUGGCCUCAGUGUUUUGGAAGUUCAAGACUGCUUCUGAGACUGAAACAGGCUGCAAGCUGAAGACCAUAAGGUCUGAUAAUGGGACUGAGUACACCUCAGCUCAGUUCCAAGCCUUCUGUGAUAAGGCAGGCAUCAAACAUCAACUUACCAACACAUAUACACCUCAGCAGAAUGGGGUAAGUGAAAGGAAGAAUAGGAGUUUGAUGGAUAUGGCCAGGUGCUUGAUGAUUCAGAAAAAUCUGCCUAAAGCACUAUGGGCAGAAGCAGUUAACACUGCAACAUACAUUCAAAAUAGACUUCCAACCAAGGCUUUGGAUCAAAAGACCCCAUUCGAGGCCUGGUUUAGUUUCAAGCCAUCAUUGGCUCAUCUGAAGGUCUUUGGAUGCAUCUGUUAUGCACAUGUACCUGCUGUUAAAAGGGACAAAUUGUCUGAAAGGGCUCGACCUGGUGUUUUGGUGGGGUAUAGCACUGUUAAGAAGGGCUAUAGGAUUUUAGAUCCUUCAACAAACAAAGUAUCAAUAAGCAGGGAUGUGGUAUUUGAUGAGAGGUCAUGUUGGAACUGGGAAAGACAUGAACCUGAAGAAGUUUCUGAAGAACUUGCUGUAGACCAAGCUGAGCCAGAUCAAAAUGUCCCUGAAAUGGAUAUUGAUGAUGAACCAGUCAGAGGAACAAGGUCAUUGGCUGAGGUUUAUGAAAGGGCUCAUGUAGCCAUAGCUGAACCAAGCAACUUUGAAGAGGCUGAGGCUCAACAAGGGUGGAAGCAGGCAAUGGCUGAGGAGAUCAGCAUGAUUGAGAAGAACCAGACCUGGGAAUUGGUUGAAAGGCCAGUCAAAAGGAAGGUGAUUGGGGUAAAAUGGGUGUACAAAGCCAAGCAGAAUGCUGAUGGUACCUUGAACAAGUUAAAAGCAAGGCUAGUGGUCAAGGGGUUCAGUCAGAGGUAUGGCUUGGACUACUUGGAGACCUUUGCACCAGUGGCCAGGCUCGACACCAUCAGACUGCUGAUUGCCUUAGCAGCACAGCUCGAAUGGAAGAUUCAUCAACUUGAUGUGAAAUCAGCCUUUCUAAAUGGUUUCUUAGAUGAAGACAUCUAUGUUGAACAACCACAAGGGUUUGAAAUAGCUGGCAGAGAGCAUAUGGUCUACAAAUUGAAGAAGGCCCUAUAUGGCUUAAAACAGGCUCCAAGGGCCUGGUACAGCAGAAUCGAUGGCUACUUGACUGAUCUGGGAUUCAAUCGAAGCAAGAGUGAGCCAACACUGUAUGUCAAGAAGCAAGGGACACAAACACAACUCAUUGUGUCCCUAUAUGUUGAUGACCUGCUGGUGACAGGAGGAGAUCAAGCAGUGCUGGUUAAUUUCAAGACCAAGAUGCAAGAGGUGUUUGAAAUGUCUGAUCUUGGUGAGAUGUCCUAUUUUCUUGGAAUGGAGGUGACUCAAGCACAAGAUGGGAUAUUUUUAAGUCAGAAGAGCUUUGCCACAAAGAUUCUGACCAAGUUCUCCAUGCAAAACAGCAAACCAACUAAAACACCUGUUGCUGUUGGAGAAAAACUAUCGAGCCAAGGAGAUUUUGAGAAGGUAUGUGAAACUACCUACAGGAGUCUAGUUGGUUGUUUGCUAUACUUGACUGCCACUAGACCAGACAUAAUGUAUGCUGUAGGAUUGCUCUCAAGGUUCUUGCAUUGUUGCAAUGAGAAGCAUUUCCAGGCUGCCAAGAGAGUGCUCAGAUAUGUCAAAGGCACUUUGGACUAUGGCUUAAGGUACAGCAGGAAAGGAAAUCUAAAUCUAGUUGGGUACACUGAUAGUGACUGGGCUGGAUCGAUAGAUGACAUGAAAAGCACCUCAGGGUAUGCUUUUAGACUUGGUUCAGCCAUGUUCUGCUGGAGCUCGAAGAAGCAAAGUCUGGUGGCACAAUCUACUGCUGAAGCAGAGUAUGUGGCAGCAGCAAGUGCUGUCAACCAAGCCAUUUGGCUUAGGAAAAUCCUGGCUGAUUUGAAUAUGGAUCAAAUGGAAGCAACAGAGAUUUUCUGUGACAAUCAAUCUGCAGUAGCAAUUGCUAAAAAUCCAGUGUUCCAUGGAAGAACAAAACAUUUCAGCAUCAAGUUGCAUGUUGUUCGAGAAAUGGAGCAAGCUCAGGAAGUAAAGCUGAUCCACUGUAAUUCAGAGGAUCAACUUGCUGACAUUUUAACCAAAGCUCUUAGUGUCACAAGGUUUGAAUAUCUAAGAAAGAUGCUAGGUGUUUGCUCCAUGCAAACCAAGGAGGAGUGAUGAAGUUGGUUCAGCAUGCAGCAAACUCGACAGCAUGCAGGCCAUCAAGACCAAGUCAUGCAGGAGCUGCUGGAACGAGCUGAACUAUUCCUAUUUUGUUCAACUUGUAAUCUUAAGUUAAUGUAAUGUACUUUAGUUCAUUUAGAACUAUGUUAGGUUUAUGAUUGAUGUAUUUUGAUGACAAUUAAGCUGUUAAGUCAGCUUUGUUUAAGUGUGCAAGCUUAGUUUUUCAAGUUUCAAUGUAUUAGUUGUAGUAGGUGAUGAUUAGGUAUCAUUAUGCAGAUUUUGACAAGCAAAUUGCUUGGUUUAUGUAUUGGCAUUAUGCCAUUGUUCAACUUAUGAAUAGAAUCAGUUUUUGUUCAUCAAUUUCCUCUCCAUUUUCUU